Molecule: non-coding RNA, 29 nt
Filed under: Rattus norvegicus (Norway rat)
Lineage: Eukaryota; Metazoa; Chordata; Mammalia; Rodentia; Muridae
Source: RNAcentral
UACCUUCCUGAUGGUUCUAUGGAGGCAGC